Molecule: ribosomal RNA, 483 nt
Filed under: uncultured bacterium
Lineage: Bacteria
Description: partial 16S ribosomal RNA
Rfam family: Bacterial small subunit ribosomal RNA
Source: RNAcentral
AUUGAACGCUGGCGGCAUGCUUUACACAUGCAAGUCGAACGGUAACAGCACUUCGGUGGCUGACGAGUGGCGAACGGGUGAGUAAUACAUCGGAACGUGCCUAGUAGUGGGGGAUAACUACUCGAAAGAGUAGCUAAUACCGCAUGAGAUCUAAGGAUGAAAGCAGGGGACCUUCGGGCCUUGCGCUACUAGAGCGGCUGAUGGCAGAUUAGGUAGUUGGUGGGAUAAAAGCUUACCAAGCCGACGAUCUGUAGCUGGUCUGAGAGGACGACCAGCCACACUGGGACUGAGACACGGCCCAGACUCCUACGGGAGGCAGCAGUGGGGAAUUUUGGACAAUGGGCGCAAGCCUGAUCCAGCAAUGCCGCGUGCAGGAUGAAGGCCUUCGGGUUGUAAACUGCUUUUGUACGGAACGAAAAGCCCUCUUCUAAUACAGGAGGGUCAUGACGGUACCGUAAGAAUAAGCACCGGCUAACUACGUGC